Molecule: ribosomal RNA, 492 nt
Filed under: uncultured bacterium
Lineage: Bacteria
Description: partial 16S ribosomal RNA
Rfam family: Bacterial small subunit ribosomal RNA
Source: RNAcentral
AGUGAGCGCUGGCGGUAGGCCUAACACAUGCAAGUCGAACGGCAGCACAGUAAGAGCUUGCUCUUACGGGUGGCGAGUGGCGGACGGGUGAGGAAUACAUCGGAAUCUACUUUUUCGUGGGGGAUAACGUAGGGAAACUUACGCUAAUACCGCAUACGACCUACGGGUGAAAGCAGGGGAUCUUCGGACCUUGCGCGAUUGAAUGAGCCGAUGUCGGAUUAGCUAGUUGGCGGGGUAAAGGCCCACCAAGGCGACGAUCCGUAGCUGGUCUGAGAGGAUGAUCAGCCACACUGGAACUGAGACACGGUCCAGACUCCUACGGGAGGCAGCAGUGGGGAAUAUUGGACAAUGGGCGCAAGCCUGAUCCAGCCAUACCGCGUGGGUGAAGAAAGCCUUCGGGUUGUAAAGCCCUUUUGUUGGGAAAGAAAAGCAGCAGGUUAAUACCCCGCUGUUCUGACGGUACCCAAAGAAUAAGCACCGGCUAACUUCGUG